GGGGGAUUGGGCUAGCCUGGCUAUGCUUCCAGCUUUGGGAGCUGGAGACCUGAGUUCGAAUCUCAGAUCCCCCA
Molecule: transfer RNA, 74 nt
Filed under: Microcaldota archaeon
Lineage: Archaea; Nanobdellati; Microcaldota
Description: tRNA-Pro
Rfam family: tRNA
About the family: Transfer RNA (tRNA) molecules are approximately 80 nucleotides in length. Their secondary structure includes four short double-helical elements and three loops (D, anti-codon, and T loops). Further hydrogen bonds mediate the characteristic L-shaped molecular structure. tRNAs have two regions of fundamental functional importance: the anti-codon, which is responsible for specific mRNA codon recognition, and the 3' end, to which the tRNAs corresponding amino acid is attached (by aminoacyl-tRNA synthetases). tRNAs cope with the degeneracy of the genetic code in two manners: having more than one tRNA (with a specific anti-codon) for a particular amino acid; and 'wobble' base-pairing, i.e. permitting non-standard base-pairing at the 3rd anti-codon position.
Source: RNAcentral